Molecule: ribosomal RNA, 488 nt
Filed under: uncultured bacterium
Lineage: Bacteria
Description: partial 16S ribosomal RNA
Rfam family: Bacterial small subunit ribosomal RNA
Source: RNAcentral
GACGAACGCUGGCGGCGUGCUUAACACAUGCAAGUCGAACGGAAAGGCCCUGCUUUUGUGGGGUGCUCGAGUGGCGAACGGGUGAGUAACACGUGAGUAACCUGCCCUUGACUUUGGGAUAACUUCAGGAAACUGGGGCUAAUACCGGAUAGGAGCUCCUGCUGCAUGGUGGGGGUUGGAAAGUCUCGGCGUUUGGGGAUGGAUUGGCGGCUUAUCAGCUUGUUGGUGGGGUAGUGGCUUACCAAGGGUAUGACGCGUAGCCGGCCUGAGAGGGUGACCGGCCAAACGGGAACGGAGACACGGUCCAGACUCCUACGGGAGGCAGCAGUGGGGAAUAUGGGACAAUGGGCGCAAGCCUGAGCCAGCCAUACCGCGUGGGUGAAGAAGGCCUUCGGGUUGUAAAGACCGUUUGUUGGGAAAGAAAAGCAGCAGGUUAAUACCCCGCUGUUCUGACGGUACCCAAAGAAUAAGCACCGGCUAACUUCGUG